GUGUCGGUAGCUGGAGUGAUGAAAGCACCGGCUUGAAGUACCGAGGAUCAUCAGUUCGAGUCUGGUACGACACC
RNAcentral lists this transfer RNA (74 nucleotides) under Spirosoma endbachense. RNAcentral's name for it is "Spirosoma sp. I-24 tRNA-Phe". It matches the Rfam family "tRNA". From Rfam's summary of the family: Transfer RNA (tRNA) molecules are approximately 80 nucleotides in length. Their secondary structure includes four short double-helical elements and three loops (D, anti-codon, and T loops). Further hydrogen bonds mediate the characteristic L-shaped molecular structure. tRNAs have two regions of fundamental functional importance: the anti-codon, which is responsible for specific mRNA codon recognition, and the 3' end, to which the tRNAs corresponding amino acid is attached (by aminoacyl-tRNA synthetases). tRNAs cope with the degeneracy of the genetic code in two manners: having more than one tRNA (with a specific anti-codon) for a particular amino acid; and 'wobble' base-pairing, i.e. permitting non-standard base-pairing at the 3rd anti-codon position. Lineage: Bacteria; Pseudomonadati; Bacteroidota; Cytophagia; Cytophagales; Cytophagaceae. The record is from RNAcentral.